AUGAUGAAGUUCAAGCACAACCAGACGCGGACUUACCACCACCAGGGCUUCAAGAAGCCUGCGGCAUGCCUGUGCUUCCUGAGUGAGCAGGAGGACCAGGCGCUGCUGGUGAUUAGCCCCAGACCAAUGGAUUGUCCCAGGAGGAGGGAUGGAGCCAGAGGAAGAGUCAGGCGGUGCUGCUGUGAGGGAAGUUUAUGAGGAGGCUGUAGUCAAAGGUUGGCAGACUCCUGGGUGAUAUUUGAGAACCAAGACCUAAAGCACAGAACGUAUGUUUAUGUUCUUACAGUAACUGAGAUAUUAGAAGAUUGGGAAGAUUCUGUUAACAUAGGAAGGAAGACAGAGUGGUUCAAAAUAGAAGAUGCAAUCAAAGUUCUCCAGUGUCAUAAACCUGUACAUGCAGAGUACCUGGAUAAACUAAAGCUUGGCUGUUCCCCAACCAAUGGAAACUCCGCAGUCCCUUCCCUUCCAGAUAAUAAUGCCUUGCUUGUGACUGCAGCACAGACCUCAGGGGUGCCACCCGGUAUAAGAUAAAGAGAAUUGGAGGCCCUCUCCACCAUGUGUAAUCUCGUGGGGAGAGGCUUUUUCACUUUCUUUGGAAAACAUAUGAAUGACACAAACUGUCUGAAUUUGACAUGCAGGGAUUUCAAACAAAUUUGCAUGUGUUUCAGAUGCUUUCAAGUCUUUUAAAACAAAAUAGUGUAAAAACAUUUUCAGAAGCCAAAGCCAUCUGGGACUUUUUCUUUUUAAGAUGCCUUAACUGUGCCCCACCUGUUAUUUUAGUUGCUGUUUUUCACAGAAUUUUUUUUUUGUCAUUGACAUCAGUCGGGUUUAUUAGUCAGAUCAAAUUGCUUAUAGGUAUAUUUCCCCCCUAAAUUGGUGUCUCACUCAUACACACCCAGUCUUGGUAUUAAAGAAACAUCCCUCCCCAAACUUCAGAAGAUCGCACUAAUUCAUAAAUUUCAGGCAUGAGCUAUUUCUGUAUGUUCCAAUAAAAAGGAUUUCA
RNA transcript from Perognathus longimembris pacificus (Pacific pocket mouse), 1003 nucleotides. It is a transcript of the gene named diphosphoinositol polyphosphate phosphohydrolase 2-like, with no coding region annotated. NCBI's taxonomy places the organism in Eukaryota, Metazoa, Chordata, Mammalia, Rodentia, Heteromyidae. The record is from RefSeq and is a predicted model, not a curated record. The transcript has a single exon.